GAUGAACGCUGGCGGCGUGCCUAAUACAUGCAAGUCGAGCGAACAGACGAGGAGCUUGCUCCUCUGACGUUAGCGGCGGAUGGGUGAGUAGCACGUGGAUAACCUACCUAUAAGACUGGGAUAACUUCGGGAAACCGGAGCUAAUACCGGAUAAUAUAUUGAACCGCAUGGUUCAAUAGUGAAAGACGGUUUUGCUGUCACUUAUAGAUGGAUCCGCGCCGCAUUAGCUAGUUGGUAAGGUAACGGCUUACCAAGGCAACGAUGCGUAGCCGACCUGAGAGGGUGAUCGGCCACACUGGAACUGAGACACGGUCCAGACUCCUACGGGAGGCAGCAGUAGGGAAUCUUCCGCAAUGGGCGAAAGCCUGACGGAGCAACGCCGCGUGAGUGAUGAAGGUCUUCGGAUCGUAAAACUCUGUUAUUAGGGAAGAACAAAUGUGUAAGUAACUAUGCACGUCUUGACGGUACCUAAUCAGAAAGCCACGGCUAACUACGUGCCAGCAGCCGCGGUAAUACGUAGGUGGCAAGCGUUAUCCGGAAUUAUUGGGCGUAAAGCGCGCGUAGGCGGUUUUUUAAGUCUGAUGUGAAAGCCCACGGCUCAACCGUGGAGGGUCAUUGGAAACUGGAAAACUUGAGUGCAGAAGAGGAAAGUGGAAUUCCAUGUGUAGCGGUGAAAUGCGUAGA
RNAcentral lists this ribosomal RNA (684 nucleotides) under uncultured bacterium. RNAcentral's name for it is "bacterial SSU rRNA". It matches the Rfam family "Bacterial small subunit ribosomal RNA", at positions 28 to 694 of the family's 1533-position model. The record is from RNAcentral.